CUAUACAUGCAGUCGAGCGGAUUUGAUUGAAUGCUUGCUUCCAGAUUAUAGCUUAGCGGCGGACGGGUGAGUAACACGUGGGUAACCUGCCUUUAAGACUGGGAUAACAUUCGGAAACGGAUGCUAAUACCGGAUAGGCGAUUUGGUCGCAUGAUCGAAUCGAGAAAGAUGGAGCAAUCUAUCACUUAGAGAUGGACCCGCGGCGCAUUAGCUAGUUGGUGAGGUAACGGCUCACCAAGGCGACGAUGCGUAGCCGACCUGAGAGGGUGAUCGGCCACACUGGGACUGAGACACGGCCCAGACUCCUACGGGAGGCAGCAGUAGGGAAUCUUCCGCAAUGGACGAAAGUCUGACGGAGCAACGCCGCGUGAGUGAUGAAGGUUUUCGGAUCGUAAAGCUCUGUUGCCAGGGAAGAACGCUUGGGAUAGUAACUGCUCCCAAGGUGACGGUACCUGAGAAGAAAGCCCCGGCUAACUACGUGCCAGCAGCCGCGGUAAUACGUAGGGGGCAAGCGUUGUCCGGAAUUAUUGGGCGUAAAGCGCGCGCAGGCGGCCUUGUAAGUCUGUUGUUUAAACUCGGGGCUCAACCCCGAGUCGCAAUGGAAACUGCAAAGCUUGAGUACAGAAGAGGAAAGUGGAAUUCCACGUGUAGCGGUGAAAUGCGUAGAGAUGUGGAGGAACACCAGUGGCGAAGCGACUUUCUGGGCUGUAACUGACGCUGAGCGCGAAAGCGUGGGGAGCAACAGAUA
Molecule: ribosomal RNA, 748 nt
Filed under: Paenibacillus sp. 1.7-06
Lineage: Bacteria; Bacillati; Bacillota; Bacilli; Caryophanales; Paenibacillaceae
Description: bacterial SSU rRNA
Rfam family: Bacterial small subunit ribosomal RNA
Source: RNAcentral